Molecule: long non-coding RNA, 4618 nt
Organism: Haemorhous mexicanus (house finch)
Lineage: Eukaryota; Metazoa; Chordata; Aves; Passeriformes; Fringillidae
Exons: 3
Source: RefSeq, a predicted model, not a curated record
GGGUGAUGGAGAAAGAGGACUGUUCCCACCCUCUCCUCACCACAGUACCUGGUUAAGAGAAGUCACGGCAAACCUGGGGAUAACCAGUUGCAUGAUGAGCUGCAGGACAGAGGUGACCAGUCCAGCCAGGAUGGCCCAGGAAGCAAAGGAAGUUCUCGCAAAAAGCCCAACAAAUUAUUCUCCUGUAUGAUCUUGGCUCAAUUCAAGGACACAGAAGCGAAAUAAUUCAUGACCAGGAAGAGAAAUGAUGAAAGUAAAGCUUUCUCAGGCAACCAUUGACAACAACAGAAAAGAGAAAAGAGAAAUGCCAUUUGCAGGUUACAUCCCAUCCCCAUGUCUCCAACCUCCUGAUGGCCUACUGCUCAACUUGCUGCUCUGUCAGUGUCUGGGGAGCCCAAAUGGGGUUUCUUCCAUUUGGUGUCAUCUACAGCUUGCAAUGAGUACAAUCCCUCUCCCCAGAUGGGCUCUUUUAGAUGAGGCAAAACUACAUCAGCCUCAACAUCAGACUCUGGAACCACUGCUUGUGACCAGAGGUUUGCACAAACCUCACCCUUUUUACUGGGCUGAUGCUCCCCCAGUUGAGUUUGCAGUGUUGAUGCCCUAUCUGGCAUCUGAUCAUCCAAGUUCCCUUUUCAGGGAAAAAAAUGACACUUUGUGUGAAUUGAAAUUUCCAAAGUCACAAUCACCCCUUGGAGUGAGUCACAGCUCACUCCAGUGAGCUGAUCAUCUGAAUCCUCCACAUUUUCAUUACUGCAUAUUCCUUAAUGAAAACUUUAAUAAAAUCUCUGAAAUCUAAAAGCAGUGUACAAAAAGGAUGAAAUUUCCAUUCUGGGAGAAAGCGGCCUUAUUUUAAUCCUGGCAGCAAAUAUUAAAAAUGGAAUUAAAUGCAAAAGAAAGAAAAACUAAGAAAAUGUGAUUAUAAGUACCCAACAGACCUAGAAUCCAUAUAGUAUUUCCAACUACUUUUUUUAUACCUCUCUGGUGAAGGGCAUACUAGAUUGUCAGUGUACUUUGUAAACAGUUUGGCCAAAGGGCAUCUGGUAUUUAUUUCUACUAAAAUUCAACUUGCAGGGUAAGAAUUUAAGUAAUGACAAACACAGCAAUAAAAAAAGUGUAAAUCAAUGUAUAUUGUGACUUAUUGCAGACAUAAACUCUCUCUUUGGAGAGAAAAAAUAUUUUCAUAUACCAUUGACCUAUGUCAGAACCUUUAGAAAAUAAAACUGUCCAGAGAUGAUUUAUUUUGUUUUAUUCAAAACUUAUUUGAUAUCAAAUGACAUCUCAGACUUAAACCAUACUCAUUCAUUCCCUAAACCUUCUCACAUAUAUACCUGCUGCUUACACCUUUACUGCAGAGAAGAACUCUCCACUUCAAUGUUCUAAAUGAAUUUUUCCAGCACAGACAAUACCACACAACAUUCAAAUUUGUGUUCCAAUGAUUUAACAAGGACGUGAGCAAUGGCCAGUGGCAGUGUGUGACCUAAGCAGAUGAGAUUGUCAGAACGAAAUAAAUUAGAUUUGUGGGGUUUGUUUGUUUUUUUAUUUUUUUUUAAAUGACUAUUUUGCUACUGCAAGUAAGAAAGCUGUAAGACAGGAGAUGUACUUUGGAAAACAAUUUCAGCUGCAGGCAAGAAACUUUAAGUGCAACAAGCAUGUACUGCAGACUUCUUUCCCAAAGUCCUGUUCUGUUUCCAGUGCUAGUUUCAUGAAUCCCCAAAUUACACAGUAGAAAAGAGAGGGAAAAUGUUUUAAAAAUGGUACAACCACAGAAAUAACACUACUUAAAUAAAACUCCAUAUAUUAUUGCAAAUUUUACUUUACUAUUUCAUAAUACCCAAACCCAAAUAGGUUGAAAUACUUAUGAAAUAUUUGGAUCAAGCAUCCCUGAAAAACUUCAGCUAGUAAUUGAAUAAAAAAGAAGAGGGGACACCUAUGGGGGUAAAAAUAAGGAAGAAAUGAUCCUUGUUUUCAAAUUUCCACCUCUGGAAGGAGUCCCAUCAUCUGACUGUAGGCACCUGUUCCUGGGUGCCUGAGGUAGAACAUCUUUCCCUGGAGGUGAAAAGGUCUCUAAGAUGAUUGGACUCUUGGUAGGGGACAAUACAGACAUUUUGGGCUAUUACCUGUGGGGAUAGAUGACUCCUCUCUCUUUGUGUAUAGAGCUUGAAGGCAGGAGGAUUUCCUAGAGUGAACAACUGAGUUUGAUGCCCAGUGUGAGGAGGUUUGAAUACAUUUAUUUGUAUGGAUGAGGCUCAGCUGACCUACUGUAAACUUCUACACAUGACCUGGUUAUCUCUAGUGUUUGCACAGGCAGUGAGAAGAACACAGUACCACACUCCUCACACAAAAAGGAGGAGUCUGAAAAUGAAAACAGAAAUUUUGCUUAAAAAAUACUGUGUCUCUCCACUGACUGAAUCAGGAAUUUUAGUUACUCUUAAAUCUGAUUCUCAUAUAUGGUCUGCAUAAGUUCAGCAUAAGCUAAAGUUAAGUGGUGUACACAGCUGAAGUCCAUCCUACAUAUCCAGAAUUAAACUACCCACCUAAUUUUAUCAAAAUUUUAUUAGCUGGUUUUCAGACAGGUUCCAAUGUUAUCAGAAACAUAUUUUACAAAGUGUUAUUUAUUAACUGUGAUCUUUUCACUGUUGGCAAAAAAUAUUUAUAAACAAUAUGAGUUAACAUUUUCUACUUCCAUUGUGGGAAAAACAUUUGGGAACUGCAAGUCUGUUAGUCUGAACAAUAAAUAUUAGCCUUGUCCUAAAUAAUUAUAUAUAAGAUCCAAAAAUAUUCCAGGCUAAUUUUGAAAAUAACUCUGUGAGAACUCUCUUGAUCUGCCCCAACAGAAACUGAAUAAUGACUGAUAUAAUCCAUGGAUUCUGUUAAAGUAAAAUUUUCAAAUUUGGAUACCUAAAGGGAGGUCUAACAUCCACUUUCUGAUAACUAAAUGAUUUAUUGAUGUACUUAACAAAAAAUUCAGUUUAUUAAACAUGAUCCACCUGCCUAGACAUAGGAAUACUGCCAUUUGAAACAUGCUCUCAAGGUCUCAGAGUGACCCUAACUACUAUGCCACAAGGUUUGUGAGGAACUCUGCUCUUCCAGCUGCACACUGGAAAUCAAACACCUCUGUCCCAGGUUGGGGAAGUGACCCUGGUCUACAGAGGCAACACAUAGCAGAGGAGGGUUUUCUCCUAGGACCUGGAAAUCAUGUCCCUCUCUGUUGAUGCCAUUCUGUAAGCAAACAAACCAGAGAAGUUUAACCUCAGCUAUUGGAGUAGUGCCCUUAAUGGAGUAAUGGCUUAAUGUAAGGCACUUUGGAACUCUGUGUGGUCUCUUAUACUAAUGGAGAUUGCUGGUCACAUUUAAUGUCUUUAGUAAAACAUCCAGUCUCUGUGGGAUUGCAAUUAUGCAUAAAGAGGCCAGAGAAUGAACAAACAGAUCUCACUGCAGGCAAGUGAGAUUAACUGAGUUUGUUAGAGGUAAUGGUAAAGGGGCUGCAGGUACAGCAAUGUGCUGUGCUUUGCUACCAGGAAUAUCUCAUUCAGCUGUGUUAUCUCCCACCACACAGGGUGCCCAGACCCCACAGUCCCAAUAUCUGUCAGUCAGAACUGACAGGUAUUAUCUUUGCUGGUCUCUGCAGGGCUCUUUGGAUUCUUGAAGGAAAACGCUGACUAAGCCCAGAGAGUGCAAUGUGUCCUGGACAGAGGUGGCAAUGUCCCUGCAGCAGUCCUGGUGCAGAUGUGACAUUCAUGUGUAGAAAGCAUGUGCAGUCCCACCUGCCCUCAGUGUGUCAGGCCCAGUGGUCACAAACUGCAGCAGAUUUCACCAACAGAAAGGAGGGAACCCCAAGGCUCACCCAGACCUUAGUAGUCAAGGCCAUGGCACUGAGUAGCACUCAGCCCUGCUCUUCCCCUGUAGGCUUUGCUUGCUCCUGCUCUCAAACUAUUUAUCAAAGACCUUUCAAAAUGCUAAGUGAUGUGUCUUAAUACAUAUGUGUUUAUUGGUAUUUCCUUUAUCCACUACAGUAAUGACAUACAAAAAAACUCCAAAGGAGUAGGGUGAUGUAACUUUCUUCUGCAAGUGUCAGGCUGGAUGUCCCUCUCUUGAGAUACCCUCCACACAUUUUUUAUUUUAGAUGCAGUUGUUUACAUCUGACAUUUCCUACCUUCUGUUUUGGAAGAGUGGGCAUUUUGAAGACAAAAUGCGUAUUUUUGUAGAUUAUUUUUCCCCUCCUUUACUCUCAGGUGUAUCUCAUUUGGGUCUGAUGAAAUUUAUCAAUCAAUAAGUUAAUAUUUAUUUUCCUGACAUUUCCCUCUCUAUGCCAGGAAAUAAGUUCAAGGCAAAUAUUCACCCAGAAGUCUCUGUCAUGAAACUUCUACAAAAAAACUGCUAAGCCUCUCAUUCAAAUGCUUAUAUUCCUUCAUAGAAACCUUCAGCCCUUGACGAUUCAGUGCAAUUAUUGAUCUCUUUCAGACACCCUGAUUUUCCUUUGUUUUCACACAAUUAGCUAUUUAUUGUUUGAAAUCCAUCUUGGCCUUCCUAAUUUUCUCGUUAUUUAACAGUUGUUUACUUAUCUUUCUGUUUAUUGGCUUCAUUAGGGUCAUAUAAUAAAGGAUUUUUGUUUGACUCA